Molecule: long non-coding RNA, 726 nt
Filed under: Rattus norvegicus (Norway rat)
Lineage: Eukaryota; Metazoa; Chordata; Mammalia; Rodentia; Muridae
Description: long non-coding RNA NONRATT007680
Source: RNAcentral
CUUAACCUGCUCAUGUCACUUGCAGAGGAACUGCCCCACCUGCCUUGCACAGCCCUGGUGGACCAUCUGACUAAAACAUAUGCUCAACUGACGGCUCCCCAGGCCUCUCUCGAUAGAGAAAAGAGGCCCAGGCCGGGGACUGAAGAUGGAGGGACUGACUCCACGGGGCCAGAAGAGACUGGCCAAGGCAGUCCUCAAGCUUCUGAGCCCACAGAACCGAGGCUGACCUGGAAAGCAGCUGGGGUCUGCCCACUGAACCCAUUCCUGGUGCCCCUGGACCUCCUGAGCCAGGCCCUCGCCCCUGCCAGGUGAAGGAUGCAGCAGGCUGGCUAUGCUGGUUUCUUUCUACAUCGUCUGUCCAGCACUGGUACUGGUGUCGGGAACGUGAUUGUGGCUUCCUGACAGUGUCCGGCCAUAGGCAAGCCCUUCAGACACUGCAUGCACUAGUAGCCUGGAAAGUGAAGCACAGUUGAAGGAAGGGGUUUAACUAUUGGGGAUUUGAGACUGCACAAAGGCGGAAUUCCUGGGCUGGUAGAUUGCGGCAAGUGUCCCUGGCCCCGCUGUGCCUGGUUCUCUGCCAUAAGAGUACCACAUCAUCAUCCCUUUGUGCAUGGCACUCGAACCCACCCCCAGCACACCCUCCCCACCUCAACUGACCACUGUACCAUCCUCUUCGCCCUUCUCUGGGUGUCCUGUGACCCUCAAUAAAGCUGUCAUCUAACUAGC